RNAcentral lists this ribosomal RNA (253 nucleotides) under uncultured bacterium. RNAcentral describes it as "partial 16S ribosomal RNA". It matches the Rfam family "Bacterial small subunit ribosomal RNA", at positions 524 to 776 of the family's 1533-position model. The record is from RNAcentral.
UACGGAGGGUGCAAGCGUUAUCCGGAUUUACUGGGUUUUAAGGGUGCGUAGGUGGGUAGGAAAGUCAGUGGUGAAAUCUUCGGGCUUAACCCGGAAACUGCCAUUGAUACUAUUUAUCUUGAAUACUUUGGAGGUAAGCGGAAUAUGUCAUGUAGCGGUGAAAUGCUUAGAUAUGACAUAGAACACCAAUUGCGAAGGCAGCUUACCACACAGUUAUUGACACUGAGGCACGAAAGCGUGGGGAUCAAACAGG